CGCGGGCGGAGGCUUCCGGGGCUGGGGGCGGUGCCACGUGCAGUGCCGGCGGCGCACGGCAGAGGGCGUAGAGGAGCUACCGCCGCCCUCCCGGAUCCCACGGCGCGGUCCGCGACGCCCGCCCUGCCGCCGCCUGGCCGAAGCCUCUCCAAGGCCAAGGCCACCCUCGGCCCCGCCCCGCCGCAACCGCCGCCCCGGAGUGUCGGUCGAAGAUCACCCUAGGCCCACGCCCUCUGCCCGCCCCGGACGCGCCACCCCUUCCUGGGCCUCCCUCCCUCCUUCCGCUCCAGGUCAGCCCCACAUUUCUCCCUGGAGCUCUGAGAGUCUUCCAGAAAAAGUUCCUGAGGAGAGCUCACUGCUGGAGGUCUUGGUCUCUCACACCCUUGGAGCUCAUCUACCCAAGUGAGGCUGAGUGCCCUCCGCCAGUGCAGACAGACCCAGUCCGUGUUGAUGCAAAACCAGAUGAAGAAAAUGAGGCCCAGGAUGGACCUUGUUCUAUCUGGAAAAAGACAGAAAAGGGACCUUAGGACUGGAAAGGCAACUAUAGGAGCAGCACCCCCCUGGUGGCGUUGGGGACCCAAGCUUGAGGCAAAACUCACUCAAGGACAGCAGAGCAGAGGGAAUGGAGUCCUUGAGCUGCUGCAUCCAACCUCCCAAACCUGCCAUCCUACUGAACUUCUGCUAUGAGAGAAAUGGUAUUAAGAUUGAUUUGGAAGACAAGCACAGUGGCCCCAAGGAUCACAAGUUUGAGACCAGUCUGGGCAAGUUGAUAAGAGC
Molecule: long non-coding RNA, 777 nt
Filed under: Heterocephalus glaber (naked mole-rat)
Lineage: Eukaryota; Metazoa; Chordata; Mammalia; Rodentia; Bathyergidae
Description: lncRNA (ENSHGLG00000036912.1)
Source: RNAcentral